CGGAGAGUGCAAGCAUUAUCGGAAUUAUUGGGCGUAAAGGGCGCGUAGGCGGGAAUGUAAGUCAGAUGUGAAAUACUGAAGCUCAACUUCAGUGCUGCAUUUGAAACUGCGUUUCUUGAGGGUUGACGGAGAAAACGGAAUCCACGUGUAGCGGUGAAAUGCGUAGAUAUGUGGAAGAACACCGGUGGCGAAAGCGGUUUUCUAGUUAAUACCUGACGCUGAGGCGCGAGAGCAAGGGGAGCAAACAGGAUUAGAUACCCUGGUAGUCCUUGCCGUAAACGAUGUAUACUUGAUGUAGUUAGGCUCAACCCUGACUGUGUCGAAGCUAACGCGAUAAGUAUACCGCCUGAGGAGUACGCUCGCAAGGGUGAAACUCAAAAGAAUUGACGGGGGCCCGCACAAGCAGUGGAGCAUGUGGUUUAAUUCGAUGCAACGCGAAGAACCUUACCCAGGCUCGAAAUGUAGAGGCAACCAACAGAGAUGUUGGGUUCCGCAAGGACUUCUAUAUAGGUGCUGCAUGGCUGUCGUCAGCUCGUGCCGUGAGGUGUUGGGUUAAGUCCCGCAACGAGCGCAACCCUUAUCAUUAGUUGCCAAUCGCGUAAUGGCGGGGACU
RNAcentral lists this ribosomal RNA (613 nucleotides) under uncultured Chlamydiae bacterium. RNAcentral's name for it is "bacterial SSU rRNA". It matches the Rfam family "Bacterial small subunit ribosomal RNA", at positions 526 to 1139 of the family's 1533-position model. Lineage: Bacteria; Pseudomonadati; Chlamydiota; Chlamydiia. The record is from RNAcentral.